This 440-nucleotide ribosomal RNA is filed under the name uncultured bacterium. RNAcentral describes it as "partial 16S ribosomal RNA". It matches the Rfam family "Bacterial small subunit ribosomal RNA", at positions 338 to 795 of the family's 1533-position model. The record is from RNAcentral.
CCUACGGGAGGCAGCAGUGGGGAAUAUUGCACAAUGGGGGACACCCUGAUGCAGCGACGCCGCGUGAGUGAAGAAGUAAUUCGUUAUGUAAAGCUCUAUCAGCAGGGAAGAAAAUGUCAGUACCCGAAAAGCAAGCUCUGGCUAACUAAGUGCCAGCAGCUGCGGUAAUACGUAGGGAGCAAGCGUUGCCCGGAUUUAAUGGGUGUAAAGGGUGCGUAGGCGGGAACACAAGCCAGGCGUGAAAUACCGGGGCUCAACUCCGGGCCUGCGCUUGAAACUGUGUGUCUUGAGUGAAGUAGAGGCAGGCGGAAUUCCUAGUGUAGCGGUGGAAUGCGUAGAUAUUAGGAGGAACACCAGUGGCGAAGGCGGCCUGCUGGGCUUUAACUGACGCUGAUGCACGAAAGCAUGGGGAGCAAACAGGAUUAGAUACCCGUGUAGUC